This 104-nucleotide small nuclear RNA is filed under the name Castor canadensis (American beaver). Lineage: Eukaryota; Metazoa; Chordata; Mammalia; Rodentia; Castoridae. The record is from RNAcentral.
GUGCUUGCUUCAGCAGCACAUAUAUAAUUGGAACUAUACAGAGAAGAUUAGUAUGGCCUCUGUGCAAGGAUGAUAUGCAAAUUCGUGAAGUGUUCCAUAUUUAA